RNAcentral lists this ribosomal RNA (492 nucleotides) under uncultured bacterium. RNAcentral describes it as "partial 16S ribosomal RNA". It matches the Rfam family "Bacterial small subunit ribosomal RNA", at positions 29 to 507 of the family's 1533-position model. The record is from RNAcentral.
AGUGAACGCUGGCGGUAGGCCUAACGCAUGCAAGUCGAACGGCAGCACAGUAAGAGCUUGCUCUUACGGGUGGCGAGUGGCGGACGGGUGAGGAAUACAUCGGAAUCUACUUUUUCGUGGGGGAUAACGUAGGGAAACUUACGCUAAUACCGCAUACGACCUACGGGUGAAAGCAGGGGAUCUUCGGACCUUGCGCGAUUGAAUGAGCCGAUGUCGGAUUAGCUAGUUGGCGGGGUAAAGGCCCACCAAGGCGACGAUCCGUAGCUGGUCUGAGAGGAUGAUCAGCCACACUGGAACUGAGACACGGUCCAGACUCCGACGGGAGGCAGCAGUGGGGAAUAUUGGACAAUGGGCGCAAGCCUGAUCCAGCCAUACCGCGUGGGUGAAGAAGGCCUUCGGGUUGUAAAGCCCUUUUGUUGGGAAAGAAAAGCAGCAGGUUAAUACCCCGCUGUUCUGACGGUACCCAAAGAAUAAGCACCGGCUAACUUCGUG